This 109-nucleotide small nuclear RNA is filed under the name Melipona quadrifasciata. Lineage: Eukaryota; Metazoa; Arthropoda; Insecta; Hymenoptera; Apidae. The record is from RNAcentral.
GCGCUUGCUUCGGUAACACGUGUACUAAAAUUGGAACGAUACAGAGGAGAUUAGCACUGCCCCUGCCGCAAGGAUGACACGCAAAAUCCGAUCGAGAAGACUGAUGUCA